GCCGCUGGUCCCUUUGUCGUAUUUUAUCUUCACAAAAGUUGCCCCCGAGACUCAACCCCCAUUGCCUGACCGCCAUCAAUUGUGGUCAUUCCCAUGACCAUCCCUAUCAUCAACUUUUUGCAGCACCUCCCAUAGUUGUUUGAAACCGAACCAUAGGUGGCCAUUUUCCUCUUUUUUUCCUUCCUUCCGACAACUGUUGGUGCUAUGCUGGUGUGGCCAUUUGCUGGGCAGCAGUCCU
Molecule: long non-coding RNA, 238 nt
Filed under: Elaeis guineensis (African oil palm)
Lineage: Eukaryota; Viridiplantae; Streptophyta; Magnoliopsida; Arecales; Arecaceae
Description: long non-coding RNA (EGUI_LNC019845)
Source: RNAcentral